AACGAACGCUGGCGGCAGGCCUAACACAUGCAAGUCGAGCGAGCAUUUCGGUGCUAGCGGCGGACGGGUUAGUAACGCGUGGGAACGUGCCCUUUGCUACGGAAUAGUCCUGGGAAACUGGGGGUAAUAACGUAUGUGCCCUUCGGGGGAAAGAUUUAUCGGCAAAGGAUCGGCCCGCGGUGGAUUAGGUAGUUGGGGGGGUAAUGGCCUACCAAGACGACGAUCCAUAGCUGGUUUGAGAGGAUGAUCAGCAACACUGGGACUGAGACACGGCCCAGACUCCUACGGGAGGCAGCAGUGGGGAAUCUUAGACAAUGGGCGCAAGCCUGAUCUAGCCAUGCCGCGUGGACGAUGAAGGCCUUAGGGUUGUAAAGUCCUUUCAGCUGGGAAGAUAAUGACGGUACCAGCAGAAGAAGCCCCGGCUAACUCCGUGCCAGCCGCCGCCGUAA
Molecule: ribosomal RNA, 449 nt
Filed under: uncultured bacterium
Lineage: Bacteria
Description: partial 16S ribosomal RNA
Rfam family: Bacterial small subunit ribosomal RNA
Source: RNAcentral